RNAcentral lists this transfer RNA (85 nucleotides) under Planctomycetota bacterium. Its description in RNAcentral is "tRNA-Ser". It matches the Rfam family "tRNA". From Rfam's summary of the family: Transfer RNA (tRNA) molecules are approximately 80 nucleotides in length. Their secondary structure includes four short double-helical elements and three loops (D, anti-codon, and T loops). Further hydrogen bonds mediate the characteristic L-shaped molecular structure. tRNAs have two regions of fundamental functional importance: the anti-codon, which is responsible for specific mRNA codon recognition, and the 3' end, to which the tRNAs corresponding amino acid is attached (by aminoacyl-tRNA synthetases). tRNAs cope with the degeneracy of the genetic code in two manners: having more than one tRNA (with a specific anti-codon) for a particular amino acid; and 'wobble' base-pairing, i.e. permitting non-standard base-pairing at the 3rd anti-codon position. The record is from RNAcentral. Lineage: Bacteria; Pseudomonadati; Planctomycetota.
GGAGAGGUGGCAGAGCGGCUGAAUGCGCCGGUUUCGAAAACCGGUCUGCCGAAAGGUAGCGGGAGUUCGAAUCUCCCCCUCUCCG